GUCUACAGCCAUACCACCGAGAAAAAACCGGUUCUCGUCCGAUCACCGAAGUGAAACUGGGUAGGGCCAGCGUAGUACUUGGAUGGGUGACUACCUGGGAAUAACUGGUGCUGUAGACU
RNAcentral lists this ribosomal RNA (119 nucleotides) under Actinia tenebrosa (Australian red waratah sea anemone). Lineage: Eukaryota; Metazoa; Cnidaria; Anthozoa; Actiniaria; Actiniidae. The record is from RNAcentral.